Molecule: transfer RNA, 70 nt
Filed under: Marmota monax (woodchuck)
Lineage: Eukaryota; Metazoa; Chordata; Mammalia; Rodentia; Sciuridae
Description: tRNA.Val
Source: RNAcentral
GGGGUUGUGGCUCAGUGGUAGAUCCCUCACCUCACACAAGUGAGACCUGGGUUCGAUCCUCAGCACCACA